This 293-nucleotide ribosomal RNA is filed under the name uncultured bacterium. RNAcentral's name for it is "partial 16S ribosomal RNA". It matches the Rfam family "Archaeal small subunit ribosomal RNA", at positions 455 to 747 of the family's 1478-position model. The record is from RNAcentral.
GUGCCAGUAGCCGCGGUAAUACCGGCAGCCCAAGUGAUGGCCGAUCUUAUUGGGCCUACAGCGUCCGUAGCUGGCUGCGCAAGUCCGUCGGGUAAUCCCCUCGCCCAACGAGUGGGCGUCCAGCGGAAACUGCCUGGCUUGGGGCCGGAGGACUCGAGGGGUACGUCCGGGGUAGGAGUGAAAUCCCGUAAUCCUGGACGGACCACCGGUGGCGAAAGCGCCUCGAGAGGACGGACCCGACAGUGAGGGACGAAAGCCAGGGUCUCGAACCGGAUUAGAUACCCCAGUAGUCC